CAAGUUUUGAGCAAUCGCGAUUAACUGAUGUUAGUUGAGGAAAGUCCACGCCCGCACAAACUGAGAUGUUUGUAGUGAUUGUACUCAGCCCAAUAAGCUGGGGGAUUUGUUUAAAUUACGGCGGAAAAAAUGCUAAAUUCUCUAUGAACAUGCAUUAGUAUCCUGAAAGUGCCACAGUGACGGAGCAUUAGAGGAAACUCAAAUGGUGGAACGAGGUAAACCCUGCAAGCGGGCAACCCAAAUUUGGUAGGGGCGUUUCGUCUAAGAAAAUGAACUAAAGACGAAAUCAUUAAUAUGAAGAUAGAUGAUUGCUAAUUGUUAAAAAUACCAUUUUAACAUGAACAGAACGUGGCUUAUAGAAACU
Molecule: RNase P RNA, 364 nt
Filed under: Lactobacillus iners SPIN 1401G
Lineage: Bacteria; Bacillati; Bacillota; Bacilli; Lactobacillales; Lactobacillaceae
Also listed under: 9 other names
Description: Bacterial RNase P class B
Rfam family: Bacterial RNase P class B
About the family: Ribonuclease P (RNase P) is a ubiquitous endoribonuclease, found in archaea, bacteria and eukarya as well as chloroplasts and mitochondria. Its best characterised activity is the generation of mature 5'-ends of tRNAs by cleaving the 5'-leader elements of precursor-tRNAs.
Source: RNAcentral